This 590-nucleotide ribosomal RNA is filed under the name Candacia sp. EG-2003. RNAcentral describes it as "SSU rRNA". It matches the Rfam family "Eukaryotic small subunit ribosomal RNA", at positions 113 to 702 of the family's 1831-position model. Lineage: Eukaryota; Metazoa; Arthropoda; Copepoda; Calanoida; Candaciidae. The record is from RNAcentral.
UAAUCUACUGGAAUGUUAGCAGUUACUUGGAUAACUGAGGUAAUUCUUGAGCUAAUACAUGCGAAAAAUCUCGACUCACGAAGAGAUGCUUUUAUUAGACCAAACCAAACAGCUUUGGCUGUAUUACUGGUGACUCUGAAUAACCUCGUGCUGAUCGCAUUGCCUUGAGCAGGCGACGUUUCCUUUGAAGGUGUGCCCUAUCAACUGUCGACUGUGAUAUAGCCGCUCACAGUGGUUUUGACGGGUAACGAGGAAUCUGGGUUCGAUUUCGGAGAGGGAGCCUUAAAAACGGCUACCACAUCCAAGGAAGGCAGCAGGCACGCAAAUUACCCAAUUAUCGAAGAUAGAGGUAGUGACGAAAAAUAACAAUACCAGACUCUUCCGAGGCCUGGUAAUUGGAAUGAGUACACUUUAAAACCGUUUCACGAGGAUCCAUUGGAGGGCAAGUCUGGUGCCAGCAGCCGCGGUAAUUCCAGCUCCAAUAGUGUAUAUUAAUGUUGUUGUGGUUAAAAAGCUCGUAGUUGGAUUUCGGCGGGUAUAGGUUGGUUUGAAUUGAUUCAAUACUGACUUUUCUACCCGUGUGUUUUGCC